Pistacia vera is the source of this 1611-nucleotide RNA transcript. It is a transcript of the gene named serine/arginine-rich splicing factor RSZ21, with no coding region annotated. The transcript is spliced from 7 exons. Lineage: Eukaryota; Viridiplantae; Streptophyta; Magnoliopsida; Sapindales; Anacardiaceae. The record is from RefSeq and is a predicted model, not a curated record.
ACAAGUCUCAAUUAACAAGGAAAUCAGGCACAUUUUUCUAGGGUUUUAGACGUCUGCGAUUAGUUCUCGGAAUAUCGUUGCUUGAUCUCGCCUUGAAAUUUUUUUCUUCAAAGUUGGAGGUGGUUUGAGAGAAUGUCUAGGGUUUACGUUGGGAAUUUGGACCCUCGAGUUAAUGAAAGGGAUCUUGAAGAUGAAUUUCGUAUGUUUGGGGUUCUUCGCAGUGUAUGGGUUGCUCGAAGGCCACCAGGAUAUGCAUUUGUCGAGUUUGAUGAUCGCAGAGACGCAGUAGAUGCAAUUCGUGCAUUGGAUGGGAAGAAUGGUUGGCGUGUGGAGCUUUCUCAUAAUUCUAAGGGUGGUGGAGGUCGUGGUGGUGGACGUGGCCGUGGUGGAGGCGAUGACUUGAAGUGUUAUGAGUGUGGAGAGCCUGGUCAUUUUGCUCGUGAGUGUCGCUUGCGCAUUGGUUCACGUGGCUUGGGAAGUGGACGUCGUCGUAGCCCUAGCCCUCGACACCGUCGGAGUCCAAGUUAUGGGUAUGGGCGCAGGAGUUACAGCCCCCGAGGAAAAAGAUCUCCACGUCGCCGCAGCAUAUCACCUCGACGUGGUCGCAGUUACAGCAGGUCCCCUCCAUAUCGCCAUUCUCGUCGUGAUUCACCUUAUGCUAAUGGAGACUGAGCUUGGAUCCUGCAGUGGAGCAUAUGCGUGGUGAACCAGAUCACAGAUCUGCAGAAUCGUAGUCUUUAUAGGAUCAGUCGAAUGAACAGGAUUUAUAGUAUUAUUGUUCAUGUCAUGGCUGUGAGGUUUGUUAGGAACUUGGUUUUGGAUGGCUCUACAAAGUCUUUCAGCCACUAAAAAGGCUGUUAUCGACGCUGUUUGUGUGGGCUUGCUAUCUUCAUACUUGGAGCAUCGUUUCGCCACAUUACUGCAUCUUUAAUGCAUCCCAUCUCUGCUCUGCUUCUCUGCACCACAUCGUCUACUGGCCGUUGCCCCUACAUAUUGUCAGCUUUGAGUCCCAUGUUGAAAAUGGUUAUGUUCAGAAAUUUGUUCUUCUGCAACAAAGCGUUUGAAGCUGUUUAUUGUGCAUCCCAUCCCUGCUUUUCUGUAUUACAUCAUCUACUUGUCUCUGUCUAUCCGCAUGUUCGGCUUGAAAUAGAUGUUGAAAAUUGAAUUGCUCAGAAACCUGUUAUAGCUCACCUCUGAUCUUAUGUGCUUCGAGGGCAAGUCUUCUGAUCAACUUAAGACCUUUUCUUCUCUGCUAGCUGGUUAAAGGUAGACCUAAUGCAAGGAUUCUGGUACGGUAGUGAAUGGUUCAAAGUUAAUGGUAACAAUUAACAACCAAUGAAAUAAUGUCCAUUUGCUGCUCCAAUUGGGUAGGUUACACAGUCCAUGGGAACACUAUAUGAAAUGAUGUGCAGAGAUGCUUGAAGAUUGGAACUGGAAGCAUUCCAGUCAUUGUCAGUUUAUUUAUUUACAUUGUUUUCUUUUGUCUUGCAUGUCGACGUGUGAAUCAUUUUUAUCCACAGGUUUUGUACAGGUAAUUAUAUUGUGUUAAAGCAAUCCCCGGACAUUUCUGUAUUUUGGUGCUGGGAUUUAUACAAUAUAUAUUUUUAUUUA